Molecule: transfer RNA, 73 nt
Filed under: Elusimicrobia bacterium RIFCSPLOWO2_01_FULL_54_10
Lineage: Bacteria; Pseudomonadati; Elusimicrobiota
Description: tRNA-Lys
Rfam family: tRNA
About the family: Transfer RNA (tRNA) molecules are approximately 80 nucleotides in length.
Source: RNAcentral
GGACUCGUAGCUCAAUUGGCAGAGCAAGCGACUCUUAAUCGCUAGGUUGUCGGUUCGAUUCCGACCGGGUCCA